This 439-nucleotide ribosomal RNA is filed under the name uncultured bacterium. Its description in RNAcentral is "partial 16S ribosomal RNA". It matches the Rfam family "Bacterial small subunit ribosomal RNA", at positions 339 to 795 of the family's 1533-position model. The record is from RNAcentral.
CUACGGGUGGCUGCAGUGAGGAAUAUUGCACAAUGGGGGGAACCCUAAUGCAGCAACGCCGCGUGGAGGAUGACGCAUUUCGGUGUGUAAACUCCUUUUAUAUGUCAAGAAAAUGACGGUAGCAUAUGAAUAAGCACCGGCUAACUCCGUGCCAGCAGCCGCGGUAAUACGGAGGGUGCAAGCGUUACUCGGAAUCACUGGGCGUAAAGGACGCGUAGGCGGGUUGGAAAGUCAGGCGUGAAAUCCUACAGCUUAACUGUAGAACUGCACUUGAAACUUCUAAUCUAGAGUAUGGGAGGGGGAGAUGGAAUUAGUGGUGUAGGGGUAAAAUCCGUAGAUAUCACUAGGAAUACCUAAAGCGAAGGCGAUCUCCUGGAACAUUACUGACGCUAAGGCGUGAAAGCGAGGGGAGCAAACAGGAUUAGAUACCCGAGUAGUC